RNAcentral lists this ribosomal RNA (273 nucleotides) under uncultured bacterium. RNAcentral's name for it is "partial 16S ribosomal RNA". It matches the Rfam family "Bacterial small subunit ribosomal RNA", at positions 524 to 796 of the family's 1533-position model. The record is from RNAcentral.
UACGUAGGGGGCAAGCGUUGUCCGGAUUUAUUGGGCGUAAAGAGCGUGUAGGCGGCCAGGCAGGUCCGCUGUGAAAACCCGAGGCUCAACCUCGGGACGUCGGUGGAAACCGCCUGGCUAGAGUCCGGAAGAGGAGAGUGGAAUUCCCGGUGUAGCGGUGAAAUGCGCAGAUAUCGGGAGGAACACCCGUGGCGAAGGCGGCUCUCUGGGACGGUACUGACGCUGAGACGCGAAAGCGUGGGGAGCGAACAGGAUUAGAUACCCCAGUAGUCC